RNAcentral lists this ribosomal RNA (206 nucleotides) under uncultured bacterium. Its description in RNAcentral is "partial 16S ribosomal RNA". It matches the Rfam family "Bacterial small subunit ribosomal RNA", at positions 568 to 773 of the family's 1533-position model. The record is from RNAcentral.
UGCGUAGGCGGCGCGGAAAGUUGGGUGUGAAAUCCCUCGGCUCAACCGAGGAAUUGCGCCCAAAACUUCCGUGCUCGAGGAAGAUAGAGGUGAGCGGAACUUAGGGUGGAGCGGUGAAAUGCGUUGAUAUCCUAAGGAACACCGGUGGCGAAAGCGGCUCACUGGAUCUUUUCUGACGCUGAGGCACGAAAGCUAGGGUAGCGAAG